AAUAAAAGUAUCAACCUGUAUUUCCUAGAUCGAGAGGUCCGGGUAAACCGCUGAACCACUUUCAUGCUUGGGAUUGUGAACUGAAACUGUUCAUAUGAAC
Molecule: non-coding RNA, 100 nt
Organism: Glossina fuscipes fuscipes
Lineage: Eukaryota; Metazoa; Arthropoda; Insecta; Diptera; Glossinidae
Source: Rfam